RNAcentral lists this long non-coding RNA (938 nucleotides) under Sus scrofa (pig). Its description in RNAcentral is "lncRNA (ENSSSCG00035023497.1)". Lineage: Eukaryota; Metazoa; Chordata; Mammalia; Artiodactyla; Suidae. The record is from RNAcentral.
CCCAAUAUAAUUUAGGCUCCAUGCUUUGAUUCUUCUGCUACCUAAUCAGUAAGAAAUGGAUGAAAUACCAAAAAGAUUCAAGCAUCUUAAUAAUAGUAAAUUUUACAGGCCCAGAAUAUAUUGACAAAACAUUGGAAUUUUCACCUGUUGUUUCCUUGGGAUAGAUAUUCCAGGCAAUAGUCCAGAACUCGGCUACCAUCAACACUGGAGAGAUGGCAGACUUCCUGUCCCUUCUCAUACCCUGUUUGAAUGACUUUGGUGGUGUUUCUUCAUCGGCCAAGUUUCUACAUUAAGGCUGAAUACGUGGCUGGCACAGGAGCUGCCUUCUGGACAAGAGUUCUCUCCUUGCUUGUCCAGCUGCAGGGAAGAUACUUUACCUGCUGUCUCUGCAGAAGAUGAUGCAAAAGAGAACCCAAGGACAUUUUCAGUGGAAGAUAAUGCACAGAAGGUGUACAAUACCACUGGUUGUCAAAGAAGCGAAGCCGGGGUCCCUUCUAGUGGGUGCAUCAGAAGUUAGAGAGAUGAAAAUCCAAAAAAUCCUAUAGCACCGCUUCCUGUGAUCUCUAACCCAUCACAAUUGAAAUGACAAGCGUUGAAAUGGGAGCCUCACGGUGGCGCCCUCUGCCUUUGCCGGCCUCUUCUGCAGCAGGGAGCGGCUCUCGCUGCCCAGUGCCAGUUCUCAAACUUGAAUGAUGCCUGGACCCCUUUAAAAAAAGAUGGAAUCAUCUUCACACACCCUACCACACAUCAGAGGAGACUUCUCUGGGAAACACUGACUUAAAAAUUAGGAUCUUAUAUUCAACAUCAAUAUCUUUCAAUUGAGAUUUAUAACUGCAAAGAAAAAGUUCUGUCUUUAUAACUGCUAAAUGGUUGAUUUUUAAGAAUCUUUAUACUGUUGUUGAAAGAAAAUAAUUAAAAAUACUUUCAACUUCCUAAAA